ACGUUAGCUAGGCAUUUCUGCGAGAUGGAGUGGCCUGUGCUCGUCUUCCUCGAUUCCCACCACCCAAACAAGCCUGAGCCUCCUUAUCCGCCUCACUGCGUUGUAGGAUCAGGGGAGGAGGAUCUGGUUCCAGGUUAGGGUGCUUUGCGAAAAAGCUAAGGAGGUUUUAAUGGAAGAAAGCAAUGUUCAGGCCAACUGUUCAAUCUGUUCAAAGCUCACAAAGAUCCUAGACAAAAUCCAAUUGCUUAUUCCUGCAAUAGAUUGAGAAAGACAAGCUACUUCUUCAGUAUUAUGGU
Molecule: long non-coding RNA, 296 nt
Organism: Zingiber officinale
Lineage: Eukaryota; Viridiplantae; Streptophyta; Magnoliopsida; Zingiberales; Zingiberaceae
Exons: 3
Source: RefSeq, a predicted model, not a curated record